GAUGAAGAACGCAGCGAAAUGCGAUACGUAGUGUGAAUUGCAGAAUUUAGUGAAUCAUCGAAUCUUUGAACGCACAUUGCGCCCGCUGGCACUCCGGCGGGCACGCCCGUCCGAGCGUCGCUUUCACCACACUCGGCCAGGGGCGCCCCCUACCCCUAGGGGUUAGGGGGGGCCCUGGGCCGGCAUUGGGUUACCCGUGGCUCGCGCCGCGGGUCCCCGAAACACAGCGGCGGCAGCGCCCGUAGCGUCCCCUGCGUAGUGACACUUACCUCGCAUUGGGAACGCGCGCGCGGCCCGCCAGCGACGUCGUCCCAAGGCUCUAACGCCGCCGACGACGACCCCACCACAAGGUUGACCUCGGAUCGGGCGGGGCUACCCGCUGAACUUAAGCAUAUCAAUAAGCGGAGGA
Molecule: unclassified non-coding RNA, 409 nt
Filed under: soil metagenome
Description: partial contains 5.8S ribosomal RNA, internal transcribed spacer 2, and large subunit ribosomal RNA
Rfam family: 5.8S ribosomal RNA (bases 1-120)
Source: RNAcentral